RNAcentral lists this long non-coding RNA (789 nucleotides) under Lactuca sativa (garden lettuce). RNAcentral's name for it is "long non-coding RNA (LSAT_LNC010020)". The record is from RNAcentral. Lineage: Eukaryota; Viridiplantae; Streptophyta; Magnoliopsida; Asterales; Asteraceae.
GGUGGUGGAACUCUAGGUGUCCCAGGAGAUGGUGUAGGAAAAGGUGGAGGGUUAGGUGUAUAUGGAGAUGGUGGAACUGUUGGUGUUAGUGGAGGUGGUGGUGUUGUACCAGGAGCUGGGUUAGGAGGUGGUGUGAUGGGUGAAUAAGGAGAUGGUGGAAUUAUUGGUGUCACUGGAGGUGGUGGUGUUGUACGAGGAGUUGGGUUAGGCGGUGGGGUGAUUGGUGAAUAAGGAGAUGGUGGAACUACCGGUGUCGUUGGAGGUGUUGGUGCUACAUAAGGAGAUGGGUUAGGAGGUGGGAUGAUGGGUGAAAAAGGAGAUGGUGGAACUAUAGGUGUCACUGGAGGUGGUGGUGCACCAGGAGCUGGGUUGGGAGGUGGGAUGAUGGGUGAAUAAGGAGACGGUGGAACUAUCGGUGUCCUUGGAGGUGGUGGUGCUACACCGGGAGUUGGGUUGGGAGGUGGGGUGAUGGGUGAAUAAGGAGACGGUGGAACUAUCGGCGUCCCUGGAGGUGGUGGUGCUACACCGGGAACUGGGUUGGGAGGUGGGGUGAUGGGUGAAUAAGGAGAUGGUGGAAUGAUCGGUGUCAUUGGAGGCGGUGGUGUUGCACCAGGAGUUGGGCUGGGAGGUGGGGUGAUGGGUGAAUAAGGGGAUGGUGGAACUAUCGGUGACACCGGAGGUGGUGGUGGUACACCAGGAGUUGGGCUGGGAGGUGGGGUUAUUGGUGAAUAUGGAGAUGGUGGAACUACCGGUGUCAUUGGAGGUGGCGGUGCUACACCAGGAGUUGGG